This is a non-coding RNA of Coffea arabica (coffee), 622 nucleotides long. The record is from RefSeq and is a predicted model, not a curated record. NCBI's taxonomy places the organism in Eukaryota, Viridiplantae, Streptophyta, Magnoliopsida, Gentianales, Rubiaceae.
AUAAAUUUGUUGGCUGUUGGCUGUUAUGAUCAAGUAUAUAACGUCUCCAGUUCACACUCCAAGGCUGUUGGCUGUUAUGACCAAGUGUCAGAUUAAAAAAUCUUCUUAAAACCAGUUCUACUCUUCUUAACUUAGUAUCUAGAAUCAUAGAAGGAAUCACAAAUUUACUUUGACAGAGCGAAUUUUUAGUUCUAUACUGCAGUGGCUGUUGAAAAACUUGCUGUCAGGGCCUGAAAAAUAUUUUAUGUAUCAGCUCAAGGCUGCUAAAUUCUCGUCAAUGGACAUGGAAUGUGAUGAAUGAAGGCUUGUUUAACCUUGCCCUGCAUUUAAGUGAAGUCGGUGCAUUCUUCUUGAUAUCAAAGUUGUGGGCUGAUAUGAAGUUGGGCAUGCUUAAAGGCUGAAGAUCGUCACUUCAGUCUUCCUUGUAUCUGUGGUUUUAUAAAGAGUUAUGCUUGAACAUAUACAAUUCGUGGCUAUCAACUCUCCUUACGGCUUAAUGCGCAGCUACCUAAGUGAAGAAUUGAUAUGAACAAACAAAGGGGUAUUUGGAGAUAUGUGUUUUGGCUGGAAUUUUUUUUGUUUUUAAGUUUCUAUUUAUUUACUGAAGAACAUAAAACAGAGA